This 559-nucleotide ribosomal RNA is filed under the name uncultured bacterium. RNAcentral's name for it is "bacterial SSU rRNA". It matches the Rfam family "Bacterial small subunit ribosomal RNA", at positions 338 to 916 of the family's 1533-position model. The record is from RNAcentral.
CCUACGGGAGGCAGCAGUGGGGAAUCUUGCACAAUGGAGGAAACUCUGAUGCAGCGAUGCCGCGUGAGUGAAGAAGGCCUUUGGGUUGUAAAGCUCUUUUGUAGGGGAAGAUAAUGACUGUACCCUAAGAAUAAGGUCCGGCUAACUUCGUGCCAGCAGCCGCGGUAAUACGAAGGGACCUAGCGUAGUUCGGAAUUACUGGGCGUAAAGCGCGCGUAGGCCGUUGAGUUAGUUAAUUGUGAAAUCCCAAAGCUUAACUUUGGAACUGCAAUUAAAACUGCUCGACUAGAGUUUGAUAGAGGAAAGCGGAAUACAUAGUGUAGAGGUGAAAUUCGUAGAUAUUAUGUAGAACACCAGUUGCGAAGGCGGCUUUCUGGAUCAACACUGACGCUGAGGCGCGAAAGUAUGGGUAGCAAAGAGGAUUAGAUACCCUCGUAGUCCAUACCAUAAACGAUGAUUGCUAGAUGUUGGAAAUUUAUUUUCAGUAUCGCAGCUAACGCAUUAAGCAAUCCGCCUGGGGAGUACGACCGCAAGGUUAAAACUUAAAUGAAAUUGACGG